AGAGUUUGAUCCUGGCUCAGGAUGAACGCUGGCGGUCUGCUUAACACAUGCAAGUCGAACGGAGUGCUUCGGCACUUAGUGGCGGACGGGUGAGUAACGCGUAAGGAUCUGCCCUUUGGACGGGGAUAACGACUGGAAACGGUCGCUAAGACCCGAUGUGCCGAGAGGUGAAAUAUUUAUAGCCAGAGGAUGAACUUGCGUCAGAUUAGCUAGUUGGUAGUGUAAUGGACUACCAAGGCGACGAUCUGUAGCUGGUCUGAGAGGAUGAUCAGCCACACUGGGACUGAGACACGGCCCAGACUCCUACGGGAGGCAGCAGUGGGGAAUUUUCCGCAAUGGGCGAAAGCCUGACGGAGCAAGACCGCGUGGGGGAAGAAGGUUUGUGGAUUGUAAACCCCUUUUGAUUGGGAAGAUGAUGACGGUACCAAUCGAAUCAGCCUCGGCUAACUCCGUGCCAGCAGCCGCGGUAAUACGGAGGAGGCAAGCGUUAUCCGGAAUUAUUGGGUGUAAAGCGUCCGUAGGUGGAUAUUCGUGUCAGUUGUUAAAGGAUGCGGCUUAACCGCAUAAAGGCGAUUGAAACUGGAUGUCUAGAGUGCGAUAGGGGCAAGGGGAAUUCCCAGUGUAGCGGUGAAAUGCGUAGAUAUUGGGAAGAACACCGGUGGCGAAAGCGCCUUGCUGGGUCUGCACUGACACUGAGGGACGAAAGCUAGGGGAGCGAAAGGGAUUAGAUACCCCUGUAGUCCUAGCUGUAAACGAUGGGUACUAGGCGUUGUCCGUAUCGACCCGGGCAGUGCCGUAGCUAACGCGUUAAGUACCCCGCCU
This 822-nucleotide ribosomal RNA is filed under the name uncultured bacterium. Its description in RNAcentral is "bacterial SSU rRNA". It matches the Rfam family "Bacterial small subunit ribosomal RNA", at positions 9 to 873 of the family's 1533-position model. The record is from RNAcentral.